CUUAACUUCGGCUCAGGCUCAGUGUAACUUGAGGAGACGAACUAUUUGAAAUCCCGUGAAAAACCGCUUUAAUCGUUUUAAUCGAGCGUUUUGGAUUUAGGGGAAUCGAUUUUGAAUUUUCUAUCGCGAUACCUUAAUUAGCAUGACGAAUUAAAAUUUCUGUCGUCUGCUCUGUUUCCUUCAUAACUUUUGUGAACGAAAAGCACUUAAAACAGACCAAGUUUGAGAUUAAAUAGAAAACGGAACUAUAUCCUAAUUGGCUGCACGCAAAAUAGUGCAGCAAUUAAAAUUGUAAAAAUGUGGUCGUCGUGUGAACUCCCAUCUCUCCAUGUUUGGCAGAUAAAUCAGCAUUCUUCUUGAUUGAAGAAACUAUACCGAUGUCGGCAGAGUUCCGGAUCUCUUCUUCCCCUUGUGAGUACACCCAUAUGUGAGUGUGGGUGUAUUCACCCUUUUUCCUAUUCCGCCUGGUGGAUUCAACUUAUUUCUGUGGAUGGAGCACUUUUGGAUACCUGGCUGUGGAUUUCCCAGGCUUAAAGGUAGGACAAAAUUGAUCUCUAUUCUUUCUUUGGUGGCGUUGAUUAUCAAUCGUGUCGUAGUAUGAUUAUUCCUGAGUUGUUGGUGUGAAUAAUGGUGUCCCUUCAAGGCGCUUCAAGGCUCUGCGUUACAGUAAUUUUCUUUUGGAAAUUGAUUGCCGGUAUUAUUGUAGGAGAACGUGUCGCGUAUAAAUGAAGUAGGUAACUACCAUGCAAAGCUUGUUUUUCGUCCCAUUCGGUUAGUACGUAUACGUAUAUACUUUGCACUAAUAUUUGUGUAUUGUAUACAGACACAGCAUCUACUGAGACAAUGACAUGUAGGAAAUAUCUAAACAGAUUCAUAUUGAAGAGUAAUCAAUAAUCACCUUUGAAGAGAAAUCUAGAUAGAUCGAGGAAUACGUCAGUAUUUACUCUUGAGUCUUGAUAGAGGAUUGAUUGAUAGAACAA
Long non-coding RNA from Daphnia pulex (common water flea), 980 nucleotides. RefSeq lists it as uncharacterized. Lineage: Eukaryota; Metazoa; Arthropoda; Branchiopoda; Diplostraca; Daphniidae. The record is from RefSeq and is a predicted model, not a curated record. The transcript is spliced from 2 exons.